GACGAACGCUGGCGGCGUGCUUAACACAUGCAAGUCGAACGGAAAGGCCCUGCUUUUGUGGGGUGCUCGAGUGGCGAACGGGUGAGUAACACGUGAGUAACCUGCCCUUGACUUUGGGAUAACUUCAGGAAACUGGGGCUAAUACCGGAUAGGAGCUCCUGCUGCAUGGUGGGGGUUGGAAAGUUUCGGCGGUUGGGGAUGGACUCUCGGCUUAUCAGCUUGUUGGUGGGGUAGUGGCUUACCAAGGCUUUGACGGGUAGCCGGCCUGAGAGGGUUACCGGCCACAUUGGGCCUGAGAUACGGCCCAGACUCCUACGGGAGGCAGCAGUGGGGAAUAUUGCACAAUGGGCGGAAGCCUGAUGCAGCAACGCCGCGUGCGGGAUGACGGCCUUCGGGUUGUAAACCGCUUUCGCCUGUGACGAAGCGUGAGUGACGGUAAUGGGUAAAGAAGCACCGGCUAACUACGUG
This 468-nucleotide ribosomal RNA is filed under the name uncultured bacterium. RNAcentral describes it as "partial 16S ribosomal RNA". It matches the Rfam family "Bacterial small subunit ribosomal RNA", at positions 28 to 507 of the family's 1533-position model. The record is from RNAcentral.